Molecule: ribosomal RNA, 497 nt
Filed under: uncultured bacterium
Lineage: Bacteria
Description: partial 16S ribosomal RNA
Rfam family: Bacterial small subunit ribosomal RNA
Source: RNAcentral
GAUGAACGCUGGCGGCGUGCCUAAUACAUGCAAGUCGAGCGAACGGACGAGAAGCUUGCUUCUCUGAUGUUAGCGGCGGACGGGUGAGUAACACGUGGAUAACCUACCUAUAAGACUGGGAUAACUUCGGGAAACCGGAGCUAAUACCGGAUAAUAUUUUGAACCGCAUGGUUCAAAAGUGAAAGACGGUCUUGCUGUCACUUAUAGAUGGAUCCGCGCUGCAUUAGCUAGUUGGUAAGGUAACGGCUUACCAAGGCAACGAUGCAUAGCCGACCUGAGAGGGUGAUCGGCCACACUGGAACUGAGACACGGUCCAGACUCCUACGGGAGGCAGCAGUAGGGAAUCUUCCGCAGUGGGCGGAAGCCUGACGGAGCAACGCCGCGUGAGUGAUGAAGGUCUUCGGAUCGUAAAACUCUGUUAUUAGGGAAGAACAUAUGUGUAAGUAACUGUACACAUCUUGACGGUACCUAAUCAGAAAGCCACGGCUAACUACGUG